GAGCCUGAUCCAGCCAUCCCGCGUGAAGGACGACGGCCCUAUGGGUUGUAAACUUCUUUUGUACAGGGAUAAACCUUUCCACGUGUGGGAAGCUGAAGGUACUGUACGAAUAAGCACCGGCUAACUCCGUGCCAGCAGCCGCGGUAAUACGGAGGGUGCAAGCGUUAUCCGGAUUUAUUGGGUUUAAAGGGUCCGUAGGCGGACUCGUAAGUCAGUGGUGAAAUCUCACAGCUUAACUGUGAAACUGCCAUUGAUACUGCGGGUCUUGAGUGUUGUUGAAGUAGCUGGAAUAAGUAGUGUAGCGGUGAAAUGCAUAGAUAUUACUUAGAACACCAAUUGCGAAGGCAGGUUACUAAGCAACAACUGACGCUGAUGGACGAAAGCGUGGGGAGCGAACAGGAUUAGAUACCCUGGUAGUCCACGCCGUAAACGAUGCUAACUCGUUUUUGGGUCUUUAAGAUUCAGAGACUAAGCGAAAGUGAUAAGUUAGCCACCUGGGGAGUACGUUCGCAAGAAUGAAACUCAAAGGAAUUGACGGGGGCCCGCACAAGCGGUGGAUUAUGUGGUUUAAUUCGAUGAUACGCGAGGAACCUUACCAAGGCUUAAAUGGGAAUUGAUUGGUUUAGAAAUAGACCGUCCUUCGGGCAAUUUUCAAGGUGCUGCAUGGUUGUCGUCAGCUCGUGCCGUGAGGUGUUAGGUUAAGUCCUGCAACGAGCGCAACCCCUGUCACUAGUUGCCAUCAUUCAGUUGGGGACUCUAGUGAGACUGCCUACGCAAGUAGAGAGGAAGGUGGGGAUGACGUCAAAUCAUCACGGCCCUUACGCCUUGGGCCACACACGUAAUACAAUGGCCGGUACAGAGGGCAGCUACACAGCGAUGUGAUGCAAAUCUCGAAAGCCGGUCUCAGUUCGGAUUGGAGUCUGCAACUCGACUCUAUGAAGCUGGAAUCGCUAGUAAUCGCGCAUCAGCAUGGCGCGUGAUAC
This 983-nucleotide ribosomal RNA is filed under the name Chryseobacterium lathyri. Its description in RNAcentral is "bacterial SSU rRNA". It matches the Rfam family "Bacterial small subunit ribosomal RNA", at positions 379 to 1369 of the family's 1533-position model. Lineage: Bacteria; Pseudomonadati; Bacteroidota; Flavobacteriia; Flavobacteriales; Weeksellaceae. The record is from RNAcentral.